This 227-nucleotide long non-coding RNA is filed under the name Brassica napus (rape). Its description in RNAcentral is "long non-coding RNA (BNAP_LNC003386)". The record is from RNAcentral. Lineage: Eukaryota; Viridiplantae; Streptophyta; Magnoliopsida; Brassicales; Brassicaceae.
UGAAAUUAAAUCAAAAACUAAUAUUAUAAAAUUAAGAUUAUCCAAAAUUUAGUUAAUUUUAUUCUUAAAACUCUAAGUAAAUAUUUAAGUAAAUUUGAAAAUUUUAAGAUUUGUUUUGAAUUUUAGGAGUUUUCUGUGUUUUGUUUGAAAAUUAUUAUUAAAAUGAGCAUAGUUUGAUUAUGAAAAUAAGCACAAUUAUAAAAGGAGUUGACUACUUAAAACCCCCU